UGGCCAGGAAUAAUCAUGGUUCCCGUCGUUUUUGGCCGGAGAAUUUUAAAAGAAUAUUGAAAAAAAUUAGUGCUUUAGAGGAGAUUAUGCUAAUGAUUCUGCUAUCGGCAGGUCACCCCAAGAGAAAUAAGUCUCAGCCCAUCAACUUGCUGAUGCUACAACUUCUCUGAGAGAGCACUUUACAACCAUUAUCCCAGUUUGCUCCUGUAACAAUCAUGAACGAGAAGAGUGAAGAACUAUUGGGCUGUUCCUUAGAAUAGAGACAGUGAUGUGGACAAGGCAGUGUACAACGUAUGGGCAUAAGAGGGAGUCUUAUGGGACCAGAUCCAGCAAUUUAUUUCUACCGUCUGUUCCAGCAGCACUGGUCAGUGAUGGAUUGGAAGAAAACUCGCCCUUCAGCACAGAAGGUUUGAGCAGCACAGCUUUACUCAGUCCUCCUGGGUUAAUCCUUCCUAAACAUCCUUGUCUUGUGAAUUAUUCCCUUACGCAACGAUUUUAAUGUCUUCUCGUCUUCCAUUGUAUCAUGUUGUAUUAGUCUGUUCUCACGCUGCUAGGAA
Macaca mulatta (Rhesus monkey) is the source of this 557-nucleotide non-coding RNA. The record is from RefSeq and is a predicted model, not a curated record. Lineage: Eukaryota; Metazoa; Chordata; Mammalia; Primates; Cercopithecidae.